CCUACGGGUUGCAGCAGUGGGGAAUAUUGCACAAUGGGCGCAAGCCUGAUGCAGCCAUGCCGCGUGUGUGAAGAAGGCCUUCGGGUUGUAAAGCACUUUCAGCGGGGAGGAAGGCGGUGAGGUUAAUAACUUCAUUGAUUGACGUUACCCGCAGAAGAAGCACCGGCUAACUCCGUGCCAGCAGCCGCGGUAAUACGGAGGGUGCAAGCGUUAAUCGGAAUUACUGGGCGUAAAGCGCACGCAGGCGGUCUGUCAAGUCGGAUGUGAAAUCCCCGGGCUCAACCUGGGAACUGCAUUCGAAACUGGCAGGCUAAAGUCUUGUAGAGGGGGGUAGAAUUCCAGGUGUAGCGGUGAAAUGCGUAGAGAUGUGGAGGAACACCAGUGGCGAAGGCGGCUCUCUGGUCUGUAACUGACGCUGAGGCGCGAAGGCGUGGGGAGCAAACAGGAUUAGAUACCCUAGUAGUC
RNAcentral lists this ribosomal RNA (465 nucleotides) under uncultured bacterium. RNAcentral describes it as "bacterial SSU rRNA". It matches the Rfam family "Bacterial small subunit ribosomal RNA", at positions 338 to 795 of the family's 1533-position model. The record is from RNAcentral.